This 119-nucleotide ribosomal RNA is filed under the name Pteropus alecto (black flying fox). Lineage: Eukaryota; Metazoa; Chordata; Mammalia; Chiroptera; Pteropodidae. The record is from RNAcentral.
GUCUAUGGCCAUGCUACCCUGAACAAGCCCGAUCCCGGCUGAUCUCGGAAGCUAAGCAGGGUUGGGUCUGGUUAGUAUUUGGACGGGAGACCAUCUAGGAAGAUCAUGUGCUAUAGGCG